GAUGAACGCUGGCGGCGUGCCUAAUACAUGCAAGUCGAGCGGACAGACGAGGAGCUUGCUCCUCUGACGUUAGCGGCGGACGGGUGAGUAACACGUGGAUAACCUACCUAUAAGACUGGGAUAACUUCGGGAAACCAGAGCUAAUACCGGAUGAUAUAAUGAACCGCAUGGUUCAAUAGUGAAAGACGGUUUUGCUGUCACUUAUAGAUGGAUCCGCGCCGCAGUAGCUAGUUGGUAAGGUAACGGCUUACCAAGGCAACGAUGCGUAGCCGACCUGAGAGGGUGAUCGGCCACACUGGAACUGAGACACGGUCCAGACUCCUACGGGAGGCAGCAGUAGGGAAUCUUCCGCAAGGGGCGAAAGCUUGACGGAGCAACGCCGCGUGAGUGAUGAAGGUCUUCGGAUCGUAAAACUCUGUUAUUAGGGAAGAACAAAUGUGUAAGUACCUAUGCACGUCUUGACGGUACCUAAUCAGAAAGCCACGGCUAACUACGUG
This 497-nucleotide ribosomal RNA is filed under the name uncultured bacterium. Its description in RNAcentral is "partial 16S ribosomal RNA". It matches the Rfam family "Bacterial small subunit ribosomal RNA", at positions 28 to 507 of the family's 1533-position model. The record is from RNAcentral.